Non-coding RNA from Picea glauca (white spruce), 121 nucleotides. NCBI's taxonomy places the organism in Eukaryota, Viridiplantae, Streptophyta, Pinopsida, Pinales, Pinaceae. The record is from Rfam.
GUACAUGAUUACAUCAUAACAUUAAUGCACCAGAUCCCAUUAGAACUCUGCAAUUAAGCGCGCUCGGGCUAGAGUAGUACUAAGAUGGAUUUCCACCCGGGAUGUCCUGGUAUUUUACAUU